This 465-nucleotide ribosomal RNA is filed under the name Vreelandella stevensii. RNAcentral describes it as "partial 16S ribosomal RNA". It matches the Rfam family "Bacterial small subunit ribosomal RNA", at positions 338 to 795 of the family's 1533-position model. The record is from RNAcentral. Lineage: Bacteria; Pseudomonadati; Pseudomonadota; Gammaproteobacteria; Oceanospirillales; Halomonadaceae.
CCUACGGGGGGCAGCAGUGGGGAAUAUUGGACAAUGGGGGGAACCCUGAUCCAGCCAUGCCGCGUGUGUGAAGAAGGCCCUCGGGUUGUAAAGCACUUUCAGUGAGGAAGAACGCCUGGUGGUUAAUACCCAUCAGGAAAGACAUCACUCACAGAAGAAGCACCGGCUAACUCCGUGCCAGCAGCCGCGGUAAUACGGAGGGUGCGAGCGUUAAUCGGAAUUACUGGGCGUAAAGCGCGCGUAGGUGGCUUGAUAAGCCGGUUGUGCAAGCCCCGGGCUCAACCUGGGAACGGCAUCCGGAACUGUCAAGCUAGAGUGCAGGAGAGGAAGGUAGAAUUCCCGGUGUAGCGGUGAAAUGCGUAGAGAUCGGGAGGAAUACCAGUGGCGAAGGCGGCCUUCUGGACUGACACUGACACUGAGGUGCGAAAGCGUGGGUAGCAAACAGGAUUAGAUACCCCAGUAGUC